This 253-nucleotide ribosomal RNA is filed under the name uncultured bacterium. Its description in RNAcentral is "partial 16S ribosomal RNA". It matches the Rfam family "Bacterial small subunit ribosomal RNA", at positions 524 to 776 of the family's 1533-position model. The record is from RNAcentral.
UACGUAGGGUGCGAGCGUUGUCCGGAAUUAUUGGGCGUAAAGGGCUCGUAGGCGGUUUGUCGCGUCGGUCGUGAAAUCAUCUGGCUUAACUGGGUGCUUGCUUUCGAUACGGGCAGACUAGAGGUAUGCAGGGGAGAACGGAAUUCCUGGUGUAGCGGUGAAAUGCGCAGAUAUCAGGAGGAACACCGGUGGCGAAGGCGGUUCUCUGGGAAUGAUCUGACGCUGAGGAGCGAAAGCGUGGGGAGCGAACAGG